CCUACGGGUGGCAGCAGUGGGGAAUAUUGCGCAAUGGGCGAAAGCCUGACGCAGUGACGCCGCGUGAGGGAUGAAGGUCUUCGGAUCGUAAACCUCUGUCAGCAGGGAAGAACGGUCACUGUGCUAAUCAGCAGUGAAUUGACGGUACCUGCAAAGGAAGCACCGGCUAACUCCGUGCCAGCAGCCGCGGUAAUACGGAGGGUGCGAGCGUUAAUCGGAAUUACUGGGCGUAAAGCGCUCGUAGGCGGUAUGUCAAGUCAAGGGUGAAAUCCCCGCGCUCAACGUGGGAACUGCCUUUGAAACUGGCAAACUGGAGUGUGUGAGAGGAUAGUGGAAUUCCAGGUGUAGGAGUGAAAUGCGUAGAUAUCUGGAGGAACAUCAGUGGCGAAGGCGACUAUCUGGCACAUAACUGACGCUGAGGAGCGAAAGCGUGGGUAGCAAACAGGAUUAGAUACCCGAGUAGUC
RNAcentral lists this ribosomal RNA (465 nucleotides) under uncultured bacterium. Its description in RNAcentral is "partial 16S ribosomal RNA". It matches the Rfam family "Bacterial small subunit ribosomal RNA", at positions 338 to 795 of the family's 1533-position model. The record is from RNAcentral.